This is a long non-coding RNA of Nycticebus coucang (slow loris), 1895 nucleotides long. RefSeq lists it as uncharacterized. The transcript is spliced from 4 exons. Lineage: Eukaryota; Metazoa; Chordata; Mammalia; Primates; Lorisidae. The record is from RefSeq and is a predicted model, not a curated record.
AACGUUGUUCUUCUCUUGAAAUAUUAUGUUGGCUGUUAUAGAUCUUUUGCUCCUUUGUGUAAAAUCAGAGGAUUUAGUUUGUCAAUAUCUAAAAGGUAACUUGUUGGGAUUUUGAUUGAAAUUUUAUUGAAUCUAUACAUCACAUUGGGAAGAACUGACACCUCGACAAUAUUGAGUCUUCCUACUCAGGAACAUAGAACAUCCUUUCAUUUAUUUAGUUAAUCUUUGAUUUUUUUAAAAUCAGAGUUUCGUAAUUUUAUUCACAUAGAUCUUGUACUUUGUCAGAUUUAUACUUAAGAAUUUCAUAUUGGGGAGGUUGCUAAUGUAACUAGUAUUGCAUUUUUAAUUUCAAAUUCCACUUGGUGCUCCUCUACUUACAAUGGGGUUACAUCCCAAUAAACCUAAGUUGAAAAUAUCAUAAGUAAAAAAUGUAGCCCUGAGAGCCAUUGGCCAAAUAAUCACCAGUGCUUGAAGUCUAAGUUGCCUAUCCCUUUUACAACAUCAUAAAAUCAAAGAAUUGUAAUCUGAAUCAUCAUAAAUUGGGGGACUGUAUAGGAAAGCAAUUGACAUUUACAGGUUAACAUUUUAUCUUGCAACUUUGCUAUAGUCACUUACUAGUUCCAGGCGGUUUUGAUUUUUUUUUUUUUUUUUUUUUUUUUUUGGUGUGUAUCAAUUCUUCUGGAUUUUCUACAUAGAUGAUCAUUUCAUCUGUGGACAAAGAGUUUUAUUUCUUCCUUUCUAAUCAGUAUACCUUUUAUUUUCUUUUCCUGUCUUAUUGCAAUAGGUAGGAAUUUCAGUAUGAUGUAAAAAGGGGUGGUGAGAAGGGACAGCUUUGCUUUGUUUUUGGUCAGUAUAUUUUAGCAAUUCAGCUGAACAAAUACCCAAUUGUCAACUAUAUUUUUCAGCCCCCAUUAUAGCUAGGUAUGGGCCAACAUAACUAAUUCUUACCAAUGGAAUGUAAGCAAAAGUGAUGCAUGCCACUUUCAGGUCUUGACUGAAGGCACUGAACAUGUGUAUUAUCACUCUUUCUUCUCUACUUCCAACUUGCAAGAUAUGGUAAUAACUUAUGCAACCUUGAAAGAUAGUGUGAUUGGUGGACAGAAUUGCCUCCCCAGCCUGAGUUCCUGCAUGACCUUAUAGAGUAGAGCUACCCUACAGGGGUAAAUUACAGGGCUGUUCAUAAAACAGAGGGAUAUUCAUGAAACAUAAAUAAAAUUCUAUUUUAUUUACAUCAUUACAUUUUGGAGUCUCUGUUAUAAAGUCACUUAGUCUUUACCUAUUACAGCAUCUUAACCAUACCACAUUUAAAAUUUGCUAGCCAUCAUUCCACCUAAAUACCUUGCGCUAUAGUUAUAGUCUCAGUCUGAGUAAAAGCUCCUACAGUCAUAUAGUCAUCUUUCCUCUCUCCAUGCCAACAUAUAGUUUUCCUAAGUGCAGUUCUUACCUCUCAAGAAUGACUCAGGGUUUCUACUUCUGGCCAUGAUAGAGUAACUACUACCGGACUAGUCCUCUUUCCAUAAAUAACUAUGUAGUCAGACAAACAUUUAUCAGGCAGUUGUUUUCAGACAAUGGAUAAUAGGCAAAACAAGACUGAGAUAAUGAGAUCCCUGAGAGAAGGGAAACUAACAAGGUGUGUGUCUUAUAUAAACAGCUUAAAACUUGAUGUAAAGAAAUCCAGUCUGAAAAUCUCUUUUUACUGCUUCCUGUGUUGCUACUGAGAAGGAUUGGAGUGAUGCAGCUACAAGUCAAGGAAUGCCAAUGAUUGGCAGCUAUCACCAGAAGCUAGGAAGAGGCAAGAAAAGAUUCUCCCCAGAGUCUCAGAGGGAGUAUGGCCCUGCUGACACCUUGAUUUUGGACUUCCAGCCUGAAGAACUUUGAAAUAAUAAAUUUCUGUU